RNAcentral lists this ribosomal RNA (587 nucleotides) under uncultured bacterium. RNAcentral describes it as "partial 16S ribosomal RNA". It matches the Rfam family "Bacterial small subunit ribosomal RNA", at positions 355 to 1375 of the family's 1533-position model. The record is from RNAcentral.
UGGGGAAUUUUGGACAAUGGGCGAAAGCCUGAUCCAGCAAUGCCGCGUGUGUGAAGAAGGCCUUCGGGUUGUAAAGCACUUUUGUCCGGAAAGAAAUCCUUGGCUCUAAUACAGUCGGGGGGAUGACGGUACCGGAAGAAUAAGCACCGGCUAACUACGUGCCAGCAGCCGCGGUAAUACGUAGGGUGCAAGCGUUAAUCGGAAUUACUGGGCGUAAAGCGUGCGCAGGCGGUUUGCUAAGACCGAUGUGAAAUCCCCGGGCUCAACCUGGGAACUGCAUUGGUGACUGGCAGGCUAGAGUAUGGCAGAGGGGGGUAGAAUUCCACGUGUAGCAGUGAAAUGCGUAGAGAUGUGGAGGAAUACCGAUGGCGAAGGCAGCCCCCUGGGCCAAUACUGACGCUCAUGCACGAAAGCGUGGGGAGCAAACAGGAUUAGAUACCCUGGUAGUCCACGCCCUAAAACGAUGUCAACUAGUUGUUGGGGAUUCAUUUCCUUAGUAACGUAGCUAACGCGUGAAGUUGACCGCCUGGGGAGUACGGUCGCAAGAUUAAAACUUAAAUGAAUUGACGGGGUCAUAGCUGUUUCCU